CCUACGGGAGGCAGCAGUGAGGAAUAUUGGUCAAUGGGCGCGAGCCUGAACCAGCCAAGUCGCGUGAGGGAAGACGGCCCUAUGGAUUGUAAACCUCUUUUGUCGGGGAGUAAAAUACGCUACGUGUGGUGUUUUGUGUGUACCCGAUGAAUAAGCAUCGGCUAACUCCGUGCCAGCAGCCGCGGUAAUACGGAGGAUGCGAGCGUUAUCCGGAUUUAUUGGGUUUAAAGGGUGCGUAGGCGGAAGAUUAAGUCAGUGGGAAAAUUGGGGGGCUCAACCUUAUAGUGCCGUUGAAACUGGGUGUCUUGAGUGAAUGAGAGGUAUGCGGAAUGCGUGGUGUAGCGGUGAAAUGCUUAGAUAUCACGAAGAACUCCGAUUGCGAAGGCAGCAUACCGGCGCUUAACUGACGCUGAUGCACGAAAGUGUGGGUAUCGAACAGGAUUAGAUACCCGAGUAGUC
RNAcentral lists this ribosomal RNA (459 nucleotides) under uncultured bacterium. Its description in RNAcentral is "partial 16S ribosomal RNA". It matches the Rfam family "Bacterial small subunit ribosomal RNA", at positions 338 to 795 of the family's 1533-position model. The record is from RNAcentral.